This 581-nucleotide ribosomal RNA is filed under the name uncultured bacterium. Its description in RNAcentral is "partial 16S ribosomal RNA". It matches the Rfam family "Bacterial small subunit ribosomal RNA", at positions 246 to 811 of the family's 1533-position model. The record is from RNAcentral.
GAGUGGGUGGGGUAAGGGCUCCCCAGGGGGGGGAUCCCUAGUUGGGUGGGAGAGGGAGGUCCAGCCCCCCUGAAACUGAAGCCCCGGCCCAGAUUCUUACGGGGGGCGAGCAGGGGGGAAUUUUCCCCAAUGGGGCCAAGCUUUAAGCCCACCCAGCCGAGGGUUAAAAAAAAGGCCUUUGGGGUGGUAAAGACUUUCCAGUGGGGGGAAAGGUUCAUACGUUAAUAGGGAAUGGAUUUGCCGUUAGCGCCAAAAGAAGCCCCGGCUAGCUCCGUGCCCAGCAGCCGCGGUAAUACGGAGGGUGCGAGCGUUAAUCGGAAUUACUGGGCGUAAAGCGCAUGCAGGUGGUUCGUUAAGUCAGAUGUGAAAGCCCGAGGCUCAACCUCGGAACUGCAUUUGAAACUGGCGGACUAGAGUACUGUAGAGGGGGGUAGAAUUUCAGGUGUAGCGGUGAAAUGCGUAGAGAUCUGAAGGAAUACCAGUGGCGAAGGCGGCCCCCUGGACAGAUACUGACACUCAGAUGCGAAAGCGUGGGGAGCAAACAGGAUUAGAUACCCUGGUAGUCCACGCCGUAAACGAUG